GACGAACGCUAGCGGCGUGCCUAAUACAUGCAAGUAGAACGCUGAAGCUUGGUGCUUGCACCGAGCGGUUGAGUUGCGAACGGGUGAGUAACGCGUAGGUAACCUGCCUGGUAGCGGGGGAUAACUAUUGGAAACGAUAGCUAAUACCGCAUAAGAGUAGAUGUUGCAUUACAUUUGCUUAAAAGGUGCUAUUGCAUCACUACCAGAUGGACCUGCGUUGUAUUAGCUAGUUGGUGAGGUAACGGCUCACAAAGGCAACGAUACAUAACCGACCUGAGAGGGGGAGAGGCAAAGCUGGGACUGAGACACGGCCCAGAAUCCUACGGGAGGGAGCAGUAGGGAAUCUUCGGCAAUGGAAGGAAGGCGGAACGAGCAACGACGCGUGAGUGAAGAAGGUAUUCGGAUCGUAAAGGUGUGUUGUAAGAGAAGAACGAGUGGGAGAGUUGAAAGUGCACACUGUGACGGUACCUUACCAGAAAGCGACGGCUAACUACGUG
RNAcentral lists this ribosomal RNA (497 nucleotides) under uncultured bacterium. RNAcentral's name for it is "partial 16S ribosomal RNA". It matches the Rfam family "Bacterial small subunit ribosomal RNA", at positions 28 to 507 of the family's 1533-position model. The record is from RNAcentral.